This 866-nucleotide ribosomal RNA is filed under the name Exophiala yunnanensis. Its description in RNAcentral is "Exophiala sp. LY-2021a partial large subunit ribosomal RNA". It matches the Rfam family "Eukaryotic large subunit ribosomal RNA", at positions 58 to 938 of the family's 3401-position model. The record is from RNAcentral. Lineage: Eukaryota; Fungi; Ascomycota; Eurotiomycetes; Chaetothyriales; Herpotrichiellaceae.
AAAGAACCCAACAGGGAUUGCCUCAGUAACGGCGAGUGAAGCGGCAACAGCUCAAAUUUGAAAUCUGGCCUCUUUGGGGUCCGAGUUGUAAUUUGUAGAGGAUGUUUCGGGUACCGCCUCGGUCUAAAUUUCUUGGAACAGAAUGUCAGAGAGGGUGAGAAUCCCGUCUUGGACCGGCGGUAGGGCCCAUGUGAAACUCCUUCGACGAGUCGAGUUGUUUGGGAAUGCAGCUCAAAAUGGGUGGUAAAUUUCAUCUAAAGCUAAAUAUUGGCCAGAGACCGAUAGCGCACAAGUAGAGUGAUCGAAAGAUGAAAAGCACUUUGAAAAGAGAGUUAAACAGUAUGUGAAAUUGUUGAAAGGGAAGCGCUUACAACCAGACUUGAGCGCGGCGGUUCCCCCUUCCUUUUGGUUGGGUUACUCCGUCGUGUCCAGGCCAACAUCGGUUCUGGGGGUCGGUUAAAGGCCUUGGGAAUGUAUCUACCCUUCGGGCGUAGACUUAUAGCCCAGGGUGUCAUGCGGCCUCCCGGGACCGAGGAACGCGCUUCGGCUCGGAUGUUGGCGUAAUGGUUGUCAGCGACCCGUCUUGAAACACGGACCAAGGAGUCUAACAUCUAUGCGAGUGUUUGGGUGUCAAACCCGGAACGCGAAAUGAAAGUGAACGGAGGUAGGAAGCCCUGAGGCUGCACUAUCGACCGAUCCUGAUGUCUUCGGAUGGAUUUGAGUAAGAGCAUAGCUGUUGGGACCCGAAAGAUGGUGAACUAUGCCUGAAUAGGGUGAAGCCAGAGGAAACUCUGGUGGAGGCUCGCAGCGGUUCUGACGUGCAAAUCGAUCGUCAAAUUUGGGUAUAGGGGCGAAAGACUAAUCGA